UAAGUCCACAAAUGAGUGUGAGAUAGUCUGAAUUCAACUUGGAUUGCAAGGCAAGUGUUCGUGAAGAUUUGAAAUUUGAUUCUUGCCAAGUGAUGACACCAUGUUCAUGCCAUGCGCAGCCUAUGCAUUCCUUGUCCAAAAUGGAUGAAUUUGAGCUCUUUGGAAAGGUGAGAUCAAGAGGAAUAACUUUCUGUUCAACACUUUUCCAUUUGGAGUUUGUAACUUGAAUAAAUUUGAGGUGGAAGUUUGGAAAUUUUUGACAU
This 263-nucleotide long non-coding RNA is filed under the name Lathyrus oleraceus (garden pea). Its description in RNAcentral is "Pisum sativum (pea) long non-coding RNA (PSAT_LNC027898)". Lineage: Eukaryota; Viridiplantae; Streptophyta; Magnoliopsida; Fabales; Fabaceae. The record is from RNAcentral.